CUACGUGCCAGCAGCCGCGGUAAUACGGAAGGUCCAGGCGUUAUCCGGAUUUAUUGGGUUUAAAGGGAGUGUAGGCGGUUUGUUAAGCGUGUUGUGAAAUUUAGGUGCUCAACAUUUAACUUGCAGCGCGAACUGUCAGACUUGAGUACACGCAACGUAUGCGGAAUUCAUGGUGUAGCGGUGAAAUGCUUAGAUAUCAUGAAGAACUCCGAUUGCGAAGGCAGCGUACGGGAGUGUAACUGACGCUUAAGCUCGAAGGUGCGGGUAUCGAACAGGAUUAGAUACCCUGGUAGUCCGCACAGUAAACGAUGGAUGCCCGCUGUUAGCGCCUGGCGUUAGCGGCUAAGCGAAAGCAUUAAGCAUCCCACCUGGGGAGUACGCCGGCAACGGUGAAACUCAAAGGAAUUGACGGGGGCCCGCACAAGCGGAGGAACAUGUGGUUUAAUUCGAUGAUACGCGAGGAACCUUACCCGGGCUUGAA
Molecule: ribosomal RNA, 481 nt
Filed under: uncultured bacterium
Lineage: Bacteria
Description: bacterial SSU rRNA
Rfam family: Bacterial small subunit ribosomal RNA
Source: RNAcentral